RNAcentral lists this ribosomal RNA (466 nucleotides) under uncultured Klebsiella sp. Its description in RNAcentral is "bacterial SSU rRNA". It matches the Rfam family "Bacterial small subunit ribosomal RNA", at positions 338 to 795 of the family's 1533-position model. The record is from RNAcentral. Lineage: Bacteria; Pseudomonadati; Pseudomonadota; Gammaproteobacteria; Enterobacterales; Enterobacteriaceae.
CCUACGGGAGGCAGCAGUGGGGAAUAUUGCACAAUGGGCGCAAGCCUGAUGCAGCCAUGCCGCGUGUGUGAAGAAGGCCUUCGGGUUGUAAAGCACUUUCAGCGGGGAGGAAGGCGUUAAGGUUAAUAACCUUGUCGAUUGACGUUACCCGCAGAAGAAGCACCGGCUAACUCCGUGCCAGCAGCCGCGGUAAUACGGAGGGUGCAAGCGUUAAUCGGAAUUACUGGGCGUAAAGCGCACGCAGGCGGUCUGUCAAGUCGGAUGUGAAAUCCCCGGGCUCAACCUGGGAACUGCAUUCGGAAACUGGAAGGCUAGAGUCUUGUAGAGGGGGGUAGAAUUCCAGGUGUAGCGGUGAAAUGCGUAGAGAUCUGGAGGAAUACCGGUGGCGAAGGCGGCCCCCUGGACAAAGACUGACGCUCAGGUGCGAAAGCGUGGGGAGCAAACAGGAUUAGAUACCCGUGUAGUC